CUUGAAGGCAAGAAAAUAAAAGCAUUUUGUUUCUAUGUAUCUGCAGUAGGCAGGUGUAAAGUAACUGGAAAGCCAGAGGGACCAGAGGAAUAAUCAUGGGAUGCAACAUCCCAGAAGCAAAGAAGUCAGUAGGACUUCAGUGCACUGGGAGAAAUGUUACAGUCUCAGUCGAACAGUGCUGUCUCAGGGCUGGAUUCCUGAGGCUACAGGGUAAUCUGAAGGAAAGCAUUUAAAGACUGUCCCUUUACCAGCUGGGAAUGGCGUAAAAUGUUCUCUGCUAAAUUGCAGCAGCUUCUGUUUGUGGAGAAACAGGUGGAUCACCGUGGAUCACCCCACAGUACGCCCUGUUCCCACCACUGCUGUUUCUGGAUGUGCCACCCAGCAGGUAGGAGAGAAACAGUUAAACCAGCUUGGUGCUACCUACAGAUACCUGCCAGGAGGACUCUUCACCUGUGAUGCAGUGAUGAUGUCUCCAUCUGCGUGGUGCUGUUAGUGAAUUGUGCCAAGGACUUUGCUCUUCCUGUUGGCCACUGAGAACUGUUUCAGUUGUCACGUGGCUGUUGCUAACGUCCUGUGUCGUGCAGGGCUGGGUGAGCCAGCAGCCCUGCUAAUGGGGCUUACUGCUUGGGUCAGCAAAUGUUGAGGACUAGGACUAGAUUGCAGAAAACUGUGCUGAGCACUUGGGAAGCAAUGCGCACGGCUGGCUUCAUGGAACCUGCAGAGCUGAAGGGCACGAGUGGAAGAGAUGGAUGUGGUAAUAUCCAAGAUUCUGUGCAGGUAAAUGUGUAAAAAGUUAAUGGUUACUGAUAGUGACUGACCACUGAAAUCCUGGAAAUGGUAUAUUAGCCCAGAGUGCACAGCAGUUAAUUUUCUACAGAUUUGCAGGACUUGUUGCUUAGCUCUGCACCCAGCUGCUUUAGAAUUUAAAAGGUGUUCAUUCCUUGCUCCGUGGUGUUGGCAUUUGAAGAGGUUUCUUACCGCCAUGUUGGUGAUGUUUGUAGCUUUGUUGUACUGCAUAAAGAAGUUUCAGUUCCAUUCCUGUGGGGCUGUUGGCAUGGUACUGCUUUCAAUUAGUUCUCAAAUACAUAUCCAGACACUUUCUGUGUUUUACAAGUAAGGUGAGUUGGAGAUGGGAGAUCCAUUUAUUUGGCAGAUAUGCUUUCCUCUACGGUAUCCACCUCUAAAAAUAAUUAGUUGGCAAUUGCAUUUUUAAGCUGUCUGACAAUAGCUCCCCAGUAACUACAGGCUCUUAGACCAAACCUGGAGAACCCUUCUAUCCUACAAAAUCAGUCAUCACAUUUUUUGACAUAAAGGUAACUUGGCAGUAAGGGAGAUUGUCUUUGGUGGGUCACUGGAGCAGUGGGAAAAGUAAUUGGGGACCAGUUUUGCAGAGAAUGCAUAUUUCAGUCAAUAUUUCAAACAGAAAUGUGGUAUAGUAUCAUUCUAGCAAUACUCAAAUGCAGUAAACGUUCUUGUGUUAAAAUCAUGCUUCUCUUUUAACCCUCAGGGAUGCAAACGCAAUCCAAGGUACUAUCUCUUGAUCUGCUCUUUAGCUCUUUAUACUGCAGGUUCUGAAAAGCUAAGCGAUAUUCUGAUCAAAAUAAUUGCAAACCACUGCAGGUGUUUUUGUAUGGUGGAAAAAAGAAGCGAGUUGCUCCUGGCUAGAAGCAGACCUUCGCCAGGCUGAUCACACACACAGGCUGCUGUGGAAAAAUACCUCUUCCAAAAGUUGCACUUAAAAGAGUUCCUGAAAUGUAGUAUUUCAAGAUUUGCUGAUAUUGGCUGCUUCACUCCAAAUGCCAGCCUUCAGCUACUGGUUUCAGAGCAUGGUGCUGAUCCAAAACUGUACUGACAGCGGAGCAUUUUUCAGCUCUUUUAGUAACUUGUAAUAAAGACUCAAGUUGCUUGCUGUGUUUUGAAGUGUGACAGUGACAAACUGUAACCAUCCAAUCUAUUUCCAAAGGAGUCAUCAACACAUAGAUUUCUAGCAAGUCUCAAAAACAUCCAUACGCUUUUGCUGCCAAAACUUUACUUUUAUGGUCUUGGGAGAAAUUCAGAUGGUUGUCAGCCAGCUCUGUAGGCGUUUGAGUGCAGUGUCAUUAAUUAACGGGUGUAUCAGCAAACACCUUGCUGUCUGAGUGCAGCAAGGCUCUGUUCUACUCUCCAGAAGGGAUCUUGGCCUACUGUACCUAGACUGCCUAAUCUGUUUAGUAAUUGAGUGUUUGGAAGGUGUGUGUGAACCUUGAUCGUGGCCUGCAUCAGUCGCUGUUCAGCAGUCUCUGGGUCAUAGUGCUAAUGGCAUGCAAUGAGUCUUUGAACUAGAACUUACAAGUAAAUACUUCUUUUCUUCUUUAGUGGCAGUGAGUAUACAGUGUUUUUUUCUUAAAACAAAUACUGCAUGGAUGUUUUCCAAGGAAGGAAGCAACAGCUGAUCUGACACUCAGUGGUUUACGUUGAGUUCAGUGAAAACCGACUCAAACUUUAACUAAGCAGUAACUGCAUUGGUUCUGGCAUAAGCAGUAGUAUUCGUGCUCUUGUUAGGUCGUUUGUUACUUAAGGAGCAUACUCAAGAAAGCAUGACUGCUUGUAUAGCCAGCAGCUGAUUUCAAAGGAAAGGAAGCGUUCAGCAGCUGCUGGCACGUUGUUCCAUGGCAGCACCUUGGGAUUGUUUUCUCAGUAUUUCUCAAUCCAAAAUAUUGAUCCCAGGGCAGCUUGGUGUUGAAGCGUGUAGCAUGUGUGAGUUUCUUCUCAUUUAUGGAAGCUUUGCACAUAUGUUGGUUGGAAUCCUAUAAUCCUUGCAAGGGUUCUGUUCUGCACAGAGGGAGGCUUCGCUGGGGCUUCUGUGGUUAUUCUCUGUUUUAGGAGACAGUGUUGGUUCAGCUGAGCACUACAAACAAAAUCUUUCAGUAAUUUGACCAAAGGCUUGUGUGUCUAGCACACAAUAAUGCGGAACUUGAGCUGUGGAUUAUAUUUAUUAGGGUUUUUUAUUAUAUAGUGACUAGAAGAGGUGUGAAAUCCCCACUGUGAGUAGCUUGUUGUCCUUUUAAAAAGAUUUAGAGAAAAUUCUCACCUACUGCCUCUCACCCUUUGUUUUCUAUAACCACUAAAGAAAGGAAAGAGAGAAGAGUUCUGUUAUGCUCGGGGGAAAAAAUAAAAAGAAAUGAAGAAGGAAGAACUGAUGGCACCCACAGAGAAGCCUCUCAUGGCUGCCCUUAGCACUGAUAAAUGUUUCAUGUGCUUUUUUUUCCACCUGAGAUCUCGUUUGUGGUCAUUCAGUCUUCUGUAUCAAAAUACAGCAGUUGCAGGUUGAACACUGAAGGACAAAGUUGAGGUUUACUGAGG
This 3342-nucleotide long non-coding RNA is filed under the name Gallus gallus (chicken). Its description in RNAcentral is "long non-coding RNA NONGGAT003299". The record is from RNAcentral. Lineage: Eukaryota; Metazoa; Chordata; Aves; Galliformes; Phasianidae.